Molecule: ribosomal RNA, 449 nt
Filed under: uncultured bacterium
Lineage: Bacteria
Description: partial 16S ribosomal RNA
Rfam family: Bacterial small subunit ribosomal RNA
Source: RNAcentral
AGCGAACGCUGGCGGCAGGCCUAACACAUGCAAGUCGAACGAAGUCUUCGGACUUAGUGGCGGACGGGUGAGUAACACGUGGGAACGUGCCUUUAGGUUCGGAAUAACUCAGGGAAACUUGUGCUAAUACCGAAUGUGCCCUUCGGGGGAAAGAUUUAUCUCCUUUAGAGCGGCCCGCGUCUGAUUAGCUAGUUGGUGAGGUAAAGGCUCACCAAGGCGACGAUCAGUAGCUGGUCUGAGAGGAUGAUCAGCCACAUUGGGACUGAGACACGGCCCAAACUCCUACGGGAGGCAGCAGUGGGGAAUCUUGCGCAAUGGGCGAAAGCCUGACGCAGCCAUGCCGCGUGAAUGAUGAAGGUCUUAGGAUUGUAAAAUUCUUUCACCGGGGACGAUAAUGACGGUACCCGGAGAAGAAGCCCCGGCUAACUUCGUGCCAGCAGCCGCAGUAA